Molecule: long non-coding RNA, 592 nt
Organism: Actinia tenebrosa (Australian red waratah sea anemone)
Lineage: Eukaryota; Metazoa; Cnidaria; Anthozoa; Actiniaria; Actiniidae
Source: RefSeq, a predicted model, not a curated record
GGAAGGGAGAAAGGGAGGGUGAGAAGAGAGUAAGUGAGUUCUUUCCCUUUAUUUUUACAUUAAACGUACAUUGUUUUCCAGUCAAGAAAGCCGAGAGAGAGAGAGAGAGAGAGAGAGAGAGAGAGAAUGUCCAAGACAACAAAAUAUAAUGUUGCUUGCUUGAUGCACUCAAGACUGACAACCAUCGAUGGUCUAAGCUCUAAGAGCAUUCUCUCCAACUUAUGAUAACAAAACAAACAGUAUCAUUUCAGCAAUACUUAGUCAGAAAACUCCCCUCUGGCACUUUCUUGAGUCUAAAAGAUAAUGAGUGGAUCCAGAGAAGUCAGUCGAGGGGGAAAUAGCCAGACUAAGAGGGAGAAAGUCGAAAUAUUACACUAUGAGAAUUUAUCACUCAUGCAAUAACUGCGUGGUUUAUGGGAAUUAUUGGAUCUGGCCCAGAAACCAAAUGAAAACCAAAACAGAAGAUGGAAUCGAAACAGAUUCUUGUCAGACCGCAGAUCACCAUGUCGAGCAGGAAAAUAUAGAAGAAAUACUUUUACAAUUUCGCAUUUCAGUGUGCAAUUCGUGGAAAUCAAUAUUUUUAAUUUUAAAA